This 253-nucleotide ribosomal RNA is filed under the name uncultured bacterium. RNAcentral describes it as "partial 16S ribosomal RNA". It matches the Rfam family "Bacterial small subunit ribosomal RNA", at positions 524 to 776 of the family's 1533-position model. The record is from RNAcentral.
GACGGAGGGCGCUAGCGUUGUUCGGAAUCACUGGGCGUAAAGGGCGCGUAGGCGGCCAUGUAAGUCGGGGGUGAAAGCCCGGGGCUCAACCCCGGAACGGCCUUCGAGACUGCGUGGCUGGAGACCGGAAGAGGAGGGUGGAAUACCCAGUGUAGAGGUGAAAUUCGUAGAUAUUGGGUGGAACACCGGUGGCGAAAGCGGCUCUCUGGUCCGGUUCUGACGCUGAGGAGCGAAAGCGUGGGGAGCAAACAGG